Long non-coding RNA from Gasterosteus aculeatus aculeatus (three-spined stickleback), 3295 nucleotides. NCBI's taxonomy places the organism in Eukaryota, Metazoa, Chordata, Actinopteri, Perciformes, Gasterosteidae. The record is from Ensembl.
AUUCCAACAACCCAAAUUGAAUCGAAACACUCCUCUCGGGAACAUUCAUUAAUGUUAAUUAAUGACGGGGAUAUUUAGUUGAUGGAUUUCACUGUGCAAAUUCAUCGACCUGAGCUUUUCAAGUGUGGCGGUUUUGAAUGAGAUAUUACUUAAAGCUAUGUGUUAAAAAUAUGAUAAAAACAUGUACUAUAUUUGUUAAGGGGCGGCACUGCUGUUCCUGUGUGUACGAUAACAGAGAGCGAACGGUGGGAGACUGAGGGAAGCUUUAAAAUAUUCACUUAUGAAUUCCCGGGUGCUCAGCCGGUCCAAAAAUAAUCCAAAGCAAAGACAAAUGAGUUUCCCUGCAUCGUCCUCCCGGUCUGCCUUAACCCAACCCACGGCAAGUGUUAGCUCGCGCUGCCGUGAGCCGGCGGUCUACGGGGAUGCGCGCCGCUGCCGUUUGAUCCUCUCUUUGCUUAACUCAACAACGCUGAGCGCGUGUGCACUGCAGCAGACCGCAGGCCGGCUGCCUGGCUGCUGCGUGUCUCUACGCACAAGAGGUUUAUAGAAGCAAGGCCGCCUGCGGAACACCCCGAGGUAAACGCACUCUUUGUGCUUCUCCUCAGACGCCUUUAACCCCCUCCAACUAACUCUUUCAUAGACGUGUGUGUGUGUGACUCGCAAAUGAAAAGAAAAAGCCCUACCUUUGCACAAACGCUCUCGCUCUGAAGUUAACCGUUCGAAUCUUAAAAGGGACACACACACACACACACACACACACAUGCACGCUCUGAUAAAAGCUCGGUGCAGCAAAAUAACCGUUAGGGAGUUCAUUCCAAUUCUGCUGACAGCAGAUAGGCUUCAGCGUUCUCUCUCUCUCUAUCCAGCAGUAAUUACUUAUAAGGCCACAGGGAUUAUGACGUCCCCGAGUCCCCUCUGCAAUAGAGCCGGUGCUCCAUACAGCCUCGUUCACCGAGUACGGUUCUUCUAUCACCCCCAGUCCUCAUUAAGCCGUCCCUCCCUCUCGUUAUUCCCCCCCCCUCCCUGUGUAAUAUCCUCCAUCCAUUAACUCGGCCCGGUCCUCCACCCGUCCUUUUCCCCCGUCCUCGCGCUUCCUCCUCCUUUUGCGAUCUUCUCCAGCUGCCACGCUGGAUCAGCGCUCUCUUAAUUUGACUUGUACGGCGCCGUCGGCGAGGGGGGGGAGAGGAGCCACGACGCCGGGAACAUACGAGUGCACAUACAUUGUCCUUGUGUAAGACGGCGUGUUCCUCUGCGUGUCCUCGGAUACCUCGGCCUGUGCUGUCCCCCCCCAUCCAAGGUUGGCUGUCUUUCUGUGUAGAUACAGGAAAUUCAUCUAUUUCCCGCUUGGUCACCAUGGCUCCUGAGGCGGCCGCUUGCAGAUGUGCCCACUGAGGUGUGUGUGUGUGUGUGUGUGUGUGUGUGUGUGGUGCAGAAGCCCGUUGCCCAGUAGAACCAUGAGGCGCUCGAUCUUUUCCCUGGUGCUGGGUUUACGCCACACAAUUCAAAACCUGGCCUUGAAAUGGCCGACGGCAUUCGGGAUAUCAGCUGUGAAAAGGCUCAUAUCAGAGAUCGAAUCAGCACUCGCUCCCGUGAGCUGAGAUAUGUAGCGUGAUUAAUAACCUGUCCCCAACGUCCAAAUGCGCUCCGACCGCCGGCGGCAGCAGUAACGACCGUAAAGCUCAAUAUAUAUAUUUAAGUGGCCUGAACAAUGCAAGUUACAGUAUCGUUAAAGGUAAAUGUAAGUCACUUCUGGCAGGUCACUGUGUUAGUUUUUAUUAUUACGUUCCUAUGCGACUGAUGCAUGUGAGCAAUGAUUUUGUGGAUAAAGGAGAGCCACAGACCGCACGUCUUUUAAAUGAGAAUACCAAACAUCGCCAGGGCGUCGGUCAGCGGUGACGACGUGGCGUGGUUUGUUUAAAAGGCCUGUUCAUUGGUGAAGGUUACCUAGCUGAACAGAAAGCGCAGGUAUCGUGAGCGCCUGUUUGCCUUAAAGCUGAUGUCGUGCUUUAAUCCUAAAUCCAAAGGAAAAAAUUCCGUCGGCGUGUCGUUGAGGGAACCAGCACCAACGCCAACCUCCGGCUCGUCCUCCAAAAAUACACCAAGCAGAAAUGCGCAAAGCCCUCUAUUUUCUUUCCUCUCUUCACAGCCGAGUUGCCACGGUGACGAGCUUGCCCACUUUUUACAGCAUCUGUGAGCCCAACACACACACACACACACACACACUUAAGCGCGGAUGCAAAAAGACGCGGAUCGGCACGCAAGGGCGGCGGCAGCCACUCGGGCAAGUUUACUUUUCCCUUUUUAAAUGCAGACGCGAGGGACGCCGGUCCACUGGUGAGGAUUCGUCACCGAUAACACACGGGUCGCUCCUCGCACGCACGCGUCCAACGGGGGAGAUAAGAUUAGCAAAGAGGGCAGCCGGUGGCCAACUGGCUCCUCAGCGGCCUCAGCCAACAAUCAGCCACGACUUAUUUCCGACACGCCGCUGUCUCACGGCGGCCAGCUUCGGCCGGCUAAUUUACUUCAUCAGUACCAAUGCAAGCGCAGGAACAGCUGGGCCGGCGCGUUUAGACAUUCAAAUCCGCUGUAAAAUAUGCAAAUGGUGGCUUUGGCGGCGAGCCGGGCCGCCGCAAGGCGGGAGCUGCGGGUGGUUCCCCUGCUACAUUCUGAGGCUGCUCUGUCCCCCCUGUCACAGAAUCCGCCUGCUGGUGCUGAUUUAUCAGAGAUCCUCCCACGUCCACGCUGAGUGACGUCCUUAAAGUGCUCAACGGGCCUAAACCGCUGCUUGAGUGAACCAGGUGCAUUCAAAUAAUAUUCACAUGUAUAUUAGAAUUCAGCCAGAAAGCUCCAGUGACGGACUUCUGCGUCUCCUUUUUAAUGCGAAAGGCAAAGACCUUUCCUCUUCUUUAGCGGCGAUGCUAUCAGUGUUAAAACAGGCCAAGCUGGGAACCGUCAGACAGAGCUCAGGUACAUUCUUUGGCACUCACACACACACACACACACACAUCCACAUACGUGCACACACUCGCACACGCUCGACACAUUUUGGCACGUUCCACGGUGCACCGAGGUCGGCUCCGGGCGGCUGCACAGAUGCACCGUUUGAAUACUGCAGGCUAAUCGGGCGAAUCGAUAAAUGUUGAGAGGGUGAGCCCACCCAAGCAAUGGAAACAGGUCGCCGCGCUGAGAAUAACUCCGUCUGCGCCCCAAAUCACAGGCCAACCUGUAGGACGGACUUGAAAGGGGCCCCCAAGAGGAAAGGGGGUUGUUGUGCUGCUUCGCUCGGGGUAAACGG